AAUUUAUACAUCGACCUUUCGCCGUGUGACAACAUCAGUGUCUUAAUUACGGUCAAUUGUAAUGAAUUUAAGCAGGAAGUGUGGUUGAUUAGCUCUUAAUUGGCUUCAGAUGGUGUCGGUUUGAAUGUGAGUGAGUGAAGCGGCAUGCUCUCAAACGCCAAUACUCUGCCGAAGCUGUAUCUGUCCGUCAUGGAUGAUGUGAUGGACAGUGUCAGAGAGUUGUUCUGUGAUGAAGGAGUGGAUGAACGAGUGCUGGACACCCUCAGACAGCUCUGGGAGUCAAAGGUCGUGCAGUCUAAAGCUGUGGAGGGUUUCAUUAAAGACAACAAUCCAUCCAAUUUUGUUCUGCAGCUGCCAUCAAACUACACACAGACUCUCCAUAAACCCACCGUUGUCAUUCCAGCUGCUCAGAAUGUGCAGAAUUUCUCCUCUAAAGCAAACAACUGUGGUUCAGUUGCCACAUUCUCUCUGCCGCCUGGAAUAACGUAUCCGGUCCAGAUUCCCGCUGGCGUCACGCUGCAGACGGCCUCAGGACAUUUCUACAAAGUCAAUGUUCCUGUAAUGGUCACGCGAGGAGCUCAGCAUGUCCUGACCCGACCUGCUUCAAACCUGGUCUCUCAUCCCGCGGCCGUUGCUCGCAGCAUCCCGGCCCAUCUGUCUGUUCCGUGUCCUCCAGCGCCAUCUGGUUGUGUGGCGUCUGAGACACCGCCAAAUCCUCCGCAACCAUUGCCCCAUCAGCUCUGUCAACAAACUGAUGACAAACCCUCCCCAUCAGCCUCUGACAGUCAGAGCGAGUUCACCCUCGAUGGCAUUGAGUUCAGCCCGCAGCCCAUCGACAUGAGUGCCUCAUCGUUCUUCACUCCGCCAGCACAGGGGCCGUGCUCGGAUUAUACCAGGAAUGUGAUGGAAACGGCCUUAAAAGAGCCAGACGGAGUAGAUGAUGAAGAAACUGCUCUUCCAGACUUGCAGGCUAAAACUAGUCAUGACAUUAAGCUUGAGACGGAGCUCCAGACGGACAUCAACUUCAACCAGCUGGUGGACAUCGCACAACUGGAUGGAGUCGCUGACAGCAGCUCCGACACUGAGGAAGAUGACGAUGAAGAUGAUGAUGAUGAUGAUCUGGGGCUCGUUGGAGAGAAUGAGUUUCUGGGAAUGAUCAAUGGCAAUGGGGAGGAGGAGUUGGAAGAGGAAGAGGAUCCGCUGAACUCUGGAGAUGACGUGAGUGAACAGGAUAUCCCAGAGAUCUUUGACACUGAGAAUGUCAUCGUUUGCCAGUAUGACAAGAUUCACCGUAGUAAGAACCGAUGGAAGUUUUACUUGAAAGAUGGAGUGAUGUGUUUCGGAGGGAAAGACUAUGUUUUCUCGAAGGCUGUGGGAGAGGCGGAGUGUGUCUUUCGUCUCUUCCUUUGUCUCCCACCGAAGCCCCUCAAAAGCAUUCGUGGCCGGAGAACUGUGGGAGUUUCUGCCAUUUUGUGCUCUAUAAGAAGAAGGACACCAUGGAGGCCACCACAUCCUCUCAGAGUUCCUUCUGCGGGCUGUCGUUACGAAACAUCACACACAGACUUCAGUCUUUGUGUUUCAGGGUCAGGCCCAACAUGGACACCAAACACAAGAGGACCGUCACAGUGCAGGAGAUCACCGUCCUGAAGAUCAGCGCUGAAGGAUUGACAACAAAUGCCUCAUGAACCUGAAGCUGGGAAACUUCAGCUACAAGAAACAUCCAUUAAAACUCGGAGAGCUGCAGGGAAACCACUUCACGGUGGUUCUCAGUGGCUUACUGCGUCUGUCGGGCGUGUCCUCGGACACCCACAGCAAACGUUCCCCGCGCAGCAGACGAGAUGAAGCAAUGCACUCCUCCGACAGAUUCUUCUGUUUCUUCAUUCUUAGAGGGCCUUUAUGCAUUCUUUGCUCACAAAAAGGACUUGACAUCUAUGAAAGGCGUUAAAGAUUGAAGACUGGCUGUUCUCCUGCUGCUCGUGACGGAUGAUCACAUGACUCAUCAGAUCUAAACUGCUGUUAUCCUCACAGAAGCACAAAUGCUAGUGAACAAAGAAACUGAUACAGGUUUGGAACAACUUAAGGACAGUCGGAUUAUCAGUCCACUAUCUGUGAGGAGACCGAGUGCUUUGGUGCUCCAGUACCAUAACCACCACCAUGACCCCUGACCCCUAAUGUUCCUAAACUAAUGUAAUAAUUGUUGUAACCAUUAUGUGUUUAUAUAUUGAGCGGAACAUUUAACAAUUUUUGAAUUGUCCAAAUUACACCCUUUGUGAUUUUAUAUAGCAAGGAGAAAACCACAACUUCUCAAUGUUGUUUUGUGAAUCUCGUCAAUCAGGUUAAGCAGGGCUUUGGACUGCUGUUGUGUAAUAUUCAGUUCCUGUGAAAAACUGUUCCAGUGGGCGGAGCAUAUGUGCAUAUUCAAAUAAGAACAAACGAAUGGAAUGAAAGUUGUUGUUUUAUCUUGUUUUAUCAUGUUUGUUAGAUUAUUUCGAUAAGGUAAGACAGCUGAAUGGAUGCGUCCCGUUUACAUGUUCAGCUGUUCAUAAUCUUACAUAAUAGGCUAAAAUGAUCGGCUUUGCACGUGCUUUUAUUCGAAAGCUUUUAUCAUGGUUUUGUGUCAUCGUGUUUGCUGUGUAGCCUAACGUUAGGAAUACAAAAAAAUAAUCAAUUACAUAUUUCUGUUUUUCCUCAUUACUUCUGAAGUUGUAAACUGUCCCUAUAAUUGUUUAUUUUUCAGCAUCGUGACUUUCACAAAAAUUACUGAAAUAAAAUUCAGUUUUAAUAAAGAUUUUAAAAUGUU
This is an RNA transcript of Ctenopharyngodon idella (grass carp), 2800 nucleotides long. It is a transcript of the gene named general transcription factor IIA, 1-like, with no coding region annotated. The record is from RefSeq and is a predicted model, not a curated record. NCBI's taxonomy places the organism in Eukaryota, Metazoa, Chordata, Actinopteri, Cypriniformes, Xenocyprididae. The transcript has 14 exons.